AGCAGCCGCGGUAAUUCCAGCUCCAAUAGCGUAUAUUAAAGUUGUUGCAGUUAAAAAGCUCGCAGUUGAAUUUCGGGACUAACAGGUUGGUCGCGCCUUUGGUGUGUACUGGCCUAGUUGGUUUCUCCCUUCUGACGAACCACGAUGUCAUUAAUUUGGUGUCGUGGGAAAUCAGGACUGUUACUUUGAAAAAAUUAGAGUGUUUAAAGCAAGCUAACGCUUGGAUACAUUAGCAUGGGAUAAUGAAAUAGGACGUUCGAUCCUAUUUUGUUGGUUUCUAGGAUUGACGUAAUGAUUAAUAGGGAUAGUUGGGGGCAUUAGUAUUCAAUUGUCAGAGGUGAAAUUCUUGGAUUUAUUGAAGACUAACUACUGCGAAAGCAUUUGCCAAGG
RNAcentral lists this ribosomal RNA (390 nucleotides) under uncultured Glomus. RNAcentral describes it as "SSU rRNA". It matches the Rfam family "Eukaryotic small subunit ribosomal RNA", at positions 569 to 963 of the family's 1831-position model. The record is from RNAcentral. Lineage: Eukaryota; Fungi; Glomeromycota; Glomeromycetes; Glomerales; Glomeraceae.